This 253-nucleotide ribosomal RNA is filed under the name uncultured bacterium. Its description in RNAcentral is "partial 16S ribosomal RNA". It matches the Rfam family "Bacterial small subunit ribosomal RNA", at positions 524 to 776 of the family's 1533-position model. The record is from RNAcentral.
UACGGAGGGUGCAAGCGUUAUCCGGAUUUACUGGGUUUAAAGGGUGCGUAGGUGGGCAGGUAAGUCAGUGGUGAAAUCUCCGGGCUUAACCCGGAAACUGCCAUUGAUACUAUCUGUCUUGAAUAUCCUGGAGGUAAGCGGAAUAUGUCAUGUAGCGGUGAAAUGCUUAGAUAUGACAUAGAACACCAAUUGCGAAGGCAGCUUACUACGGGAUCAUUGACACUGAGGCACGAAAGCGUGGGGAUCAAACAGG